AGAGCGAACGCUGGCGGCAGGCCUAACACAUGCAAGUCGAGCGCCCCGCAAGGGGAGCGGCAGACGGGAGAGUAACACGUGGGAACGUACCCUUCAGUUCGGAACAACCCAGGGAAACUUGGGCUAAUACCGGAUACGUCCGUAAGGAGAAAGAUUUAUCGCUGAAGGAUCGGCCCGCGUCUGAUUAGCUAGUUGGUGGGGUAAUGGCCCACCAAGGCGACGAUCAGUAGCUGGUCUGAGAGGAUGAUCAGCCUCACUGGGACUGAGACACGGCCCAGACUCCUACGGGAGGCAGCAGUGGGGAAUAUUGGACAAUGGGCGCAAGCCUGAUCCAGCCAUGCCGCGUGGAUGAUGAAGGCCCUAGGGUUGUAAAGUCCUUUCGGCGGGGAAGAUAAUGACGGUACCCGCAGAAGAAGCCCGGCUAACUUCGUGCCAGCAGCCGC
Molecule: ribosomal RNA, 443 nt
Filed under: uncultured bacterium
Lineage: Bacteria
Description: SSU rRNA
Rfam family: Bacterial small subunit ribosomal RNA
Source: RNAcentral